RNAcentral lists this long non-coding RNA (1664 nucleotides) under Nothobranchius furzeri (turquoise killifish). RNAcentral's name for it is "lncRNA (ENSNFUG00015002564.1)". The record is from RNAcentral. Lineage: Eukaryota; Metazoa; Chordata; Actinopteri; Cyprinodontiformes; Nothobranchiidae.
AUGAUGGUGUGUGUGUGUGGAAUGUUGUUAUCAGAACCAGCAGAUCCGGAGAAGCAGUUAGUUCUGAGUGGGAGUGAACGUUUUGCUCUAAACUUUAGUGGGAGAACACGCAACUCCACGCAGAAAAGCCGCAGCCGAGUUUCAAACCUGCAACCUUUGUGCCGCGAGGCAACAGUGCUAACCACUGCUCCACCAUGCAGCCCGCAUUAUCCUAGUGAAUGUAUAAUUAAACGGGUAAACUAGUAGUAGCACAUUCAAUGUCAAAGAAAGUAAAGUGUUAUUAUCAGGAGAAGGAGAAUGUUUAAGUCGUUAGCAGCAGUGUGCUAGACGAUGGCCCCCUCCAUGAGGCCUCUAUCAGUCUACAACCUCAAAAAGUGUCUCAAAACCACUAAAUUCAGUCAAUUCAGUCACAAGUUUUUAUGUUACUUCUGAUCCAUUUUUACUUUUGUUUAACCAACCCAACCUGAUUUUUCAUUUCAGUUAUUGGUGUGGAGAAAAUAAUCUAAAUAUGUUGUAAUCGUGUUCUUGCUGUUUCAGUAAAACUGUCUCAUUUGAACGUAUUUUAAUUCAGUUAUUUACUGCCGGUAUAAUUUCUGUCUGCUACGUGUAAACAUGAGGUGAAAAUCUUUACUACGGUUUAAAUUUCCAGAAGGACAAACAGAGAGUGAGAAUAUUAACCGUAACAAAUAUCACCAAUGGGCUUACGUGUACCAAGCCUACUUCACAGGAAGGUAGAGAUGUGUGCAGGUACACGGAGAGAAACCGUGUGUGUGUGUGUGUGUGCGUGCGUGCGUGCGUGCGUGCGUGUGUGUGUGUGUGUGUGUGUGUGUGUGUGGCCGGCGGCUGAAAGAGACGUGUGUGCAUGCAUUAAAAUCGGGGAUUUUCUUGUCAGAGUAGCAGGAUUGGGGAUUAGUUUAGGAUCUGACUGAGAUGUAUGAGGGAGGAGCUGAUGACUUUAGCCACAUAAAGAGAUGACUGGACAAAUGUGUGCACAUACAUCAAUAUCAGUGUAUUAUAGAGAUGCCUAGCAGGGUGAAAAAAUAAAACGCACACACACACACACACACACACACAUGGAGGUUUUAUUUCUUUACGCAUCACCUGCGAGGAGGAAAUUAAUAUCAGCGUAUUGAAACCGUUCCUAUGGAAGAUCUUUAUGCUUCCCUUAACUCCAGAGUCACAAAAUAGAUGCAAGUGACACACACACACCCAUCCUGCUGAGAGACAGGCUCUAAAAUAACCUCUGUUCCAGCCGGCGGCCCGCUGAGACUCCUGCUGUGUUGUUUUAAUGGGGAAAAUUAGCCAAGCAGAAAGGUGGAUCCUGUUUGUUAUGCUCCACUGUGCCCCCAUCCACGCAGUCGGCCGAGGAGCCAUCCUCUGUUGUCCUCUCUCCCCGCGUCUCUGAGCUCUCCUGACACUGUGUAUCUCCAGCAGCUGCUGCUGCCUUCAUACAUCCAUCUCCUCCUGCCUCCACACUCUGCCAGGCCCAGAUACACACACACACACACACACACACACAAAGACAAACUAAUCACAAAAAUGCUUUCAGCUGAGCCCAAAUCAUCUAAACCUAAAUCUUUCUGGUCUGCCGUUUCAACAAGCUGCUUUGCUUUGCACCUGCAAAAAUGACCAACUUGGAAAGCAGAGGGGACAGAUUUCAAACA